Molecule: microRNA, 21 nt
Filed under: Macaca mulatta (Rhesus monkey)
Lineage: Eukaryota; Metazoa; Chordata; Mammalia; Primates; Cercopithecidae
Also listed under: 3 other names
Description: mml-miR-569
Gene: mml-miR-569
Source: miRBase by way of RNAcentral
AGUUAAUGAAUCCUGGAAAGU